AGGACGAACGCUGGCGGCACGCUUAACACAUGCAAGUCGAACGAGGUUCAAGGAGCUUGCUCCUGAAGAUCUAGUGGCGAACGGGUGCGUAACACGUGAGAAACCUGUCCCGAACUUGGGAAUAACAGCCGGAAACGGCUGCUAAUACCGAAUAUCUUCGUAACGUCGCAUGGCGAAUCGAAGAAAGCUUUAUGCGGUUUGGGAGGGUCUCGCGGCCUAUCAGCUAGUUGGUGAGGUAAUGGCUCACCAAGGCAUCGACGGGUAGCUGGUCUGAGAGGAUGAUCAGCCACACUGGGACUGAGACACGGCCCAGACUCCUACGGGAGCAGCAGUGGGAAUAUUGCACAAUGGGCGAAAGCCUGAUGCAGCGAUGCCGCGUGCGGGAAGAAGGCCCUAGGGUUGUAAACCGCUUUCAGUAGGAAGAAAUGACGGUACUACAGAAGAAGUGACGGCCAACGUACGUGCCAGCAGCCGCGUAA
Molecule: ribosomal RNA, 479 nt
Filed under: uncultured soil bacterium
Lineage: Bacteria
Description: bacterial SSU rRNA
Rfam family: Bacterial small subunit ribosomal RNA
Source: RNAcentral